GCCAGGGUAGCUCAGUUGGUGAGAGCGUCGGAUUCAUAACCCGGAGGUCGACAGUUCAAAUCUGUUUCCUGGCACCA
This 77-nucleotide transfer RNA is filed under the name Candidatus Altimarinota bacterium. RNAcentral describes it as "tRNA-Met". It matches the Rfam family "tRNA". From Rfam's summary of the family: Transfer RNA (tRNA) molecules are approximately 80 nucleotides in length. Their secondary structure includes four short double-helical elements and three loops (D, anti-codon, and T loops). Lineage: Bacteria; Candidatus Altimarinota. The record is from RNAcentral.